RNAcentral lists this ribosomal RNA (482 nucleotides) under uncultured bacterium. RNAcentral's name for it is "partial 16S ribosomal RNA". It matches the Rfam family "Bacterial small subunit ribosomal RNA", at positions 30 to 507 of the family's 1533-position model. The record is from RNAcentral.
AUUGAACGCUGGCGGCAUGCUUUACACAUGCAAGUCGAACGGUAACAGGCCGCAAUUUGCUGACUAGUGGUGAACGGGUGAGUAAGGCUACCGAGUGGAUCCCGUCGCUAGGGAUCUCUACUCGAUAGGGUAGCUAAUACCUCAUACCGGCUAUUGUAUAAAGCCGCGUGCUGUAAUGGUGCACGCCGUUUUUGCGGCCGAUGUCAGAUGAAGUAGCUGGGCGUGUAAAAGCUCACCAAGGCAACGAUCUGUAAGUGGACUGAGAGGAGGAGCAGCCAAACUUGGAAUGAGACAAGGCCCAGACUCCUAAGGGAGGGAGGAGGGGGGAAUUUUGGACAAUGGGCGCAAGCCUGAUCCAGCCAUGGCGCGUGCAGGAAGAAGGCCUUCGGGUUGUAAACUGUUUGUGUACGGAACGAAACAGCUCUGGUUAAAACCCGGGGCUAAUGACGGUACCGUAAUAAUAAGCACCGGCUAACUACGUG